AGCGGGGUAGGGUAACAGUAAUCCACCAGGCUCAUAACCUGGGAAUUGUCGGUGCAAUUCCGGCCCCCGCAA
RNAcentral lists this transfer RNA (72 nucleotides) under Candidatus Tayloriibacteriota bacterium. RNAcentral describes it as "tRNA-Ile". It matches the Rfam family "tRNA". Rfam says of the family: Transfer RNA (tRNA) molecules are approximately 80 nucleotides in length. Their secondary structure includes four short double-helical elements and three loops (D, anti-codon, and T loops). Further hydrogen bonds mediate the characteristic L-shaped molecular structure. tRNAs have two regions of fundamental functional importance: the anti-codon, which is responsible for specific mRNA codon recognition, and the 3' end, to which the tRNAs corresponding amino acid is attached (by aminoacyl-tRNA synthetases). tRNAs cope with the degeneracy of the genetic code in two manners: having more than one tRNA (with a specific anti-codon) for a particular amino acid; and 'wobble' base-pairing, i.e. permitting non-standard base-pairing at the 3rd anti-codon position. Lineage: Bacteria; Candidatus Tayloriibacteriota. The record is from RNAcentral.